This is a transfer RNA of Pneumocystis murina B123, 95 nucleotides long. It matches the Rfam family "tRNA". From Rfam's summary of the family: Transfer RNA (tRNA) molecules are approximately 80 nucleotides in length. The record is from Rfam. Lineage: Eukaryota; Fungi; Ascomycota; Pneumocystomycetes; Pneumocystales; Pneumocystaceae.
GGUACUAUGGCCGAGUUGGUCUAAGGCGUGAGAUUUAAGCUUUUGUAAUAUCUCUCAUCUCGAAAGAGGCCUGGGUUCGAACCCCAGUGGUACCA